RNAcentral lists this long non-coding RNA (677 nucleotides) under Zalophus californianus (California sea lion). Its description in RNAcentral is "lncRNA (ENSZCAG00015018064.1)". The record is from RNAcentral. Lineage: Eukaryota; Metazoa; Chordata; Mammalia; Carnivora; Otariidae.
AGUGGGGACCAGAGUUGGAGGAUGACAUAAUCCUCACGUGACCAGGAGCUGCCGCGAAGUCCUUAUAUUCCUGGGCUUCUUUCUCCUCUGGGUACCAGCCCCUUACUGUCCUGUAGGCGUUCGUGCUUGUGGCCAAGAGAAGGACUUAAAUUCCUUAAAUCUCAGAAGGUCCAAGGGUCUGUAUUCACAGACAUCUCGAGGCAAGAAAAAGAGGAAACUAUCCCGAAUCCUCACGGGAUUUCACAUAUUUGCAAGGAUUUUUUUUAAACCUAAAAAUCAAGUACAUGUGCUAUCCAAUCAGAAGGAAAUGGACAUAGAUUCCUAUUCACCACAUGCACAAAAAUACAUCCCAGGUGAAUCGAAGAUGAAAAUGUGAAGAACAAGGAGCUCCUGGCUGGCUCAUCUGGUGGAACAUAUGACUCUGAGCUCGGGGUUGUAAGUUCGAGGCCCACGAUGGAUGGUAGAGAUUAUUUAAAAAUAAAAUCUUUAAAAAAAAAAGAGAAAGAAAGUAAAUGUGAAGAACAAGAAUAAAAUAUUACGAUGAAAAUUAACUAAAACAUGUAUAAUCUUGUGAUGUCAUUAUCUUCUUAAGCAUGAAAAAAAAAUCCAGAAGUUAUAAAGGAAAAAAAUAUAUAAAAGGUCCGAAGACAAGAAAUAGCCUGUGAGGAAAUAUUUUC